This 256-nucleotide ribosomal RNA is filed under the name uncultured bacterium. Its description in RNAcentral is "partial 16S ribosomal RNA". It matches the Rfam family "Bacterial small subunit ribosomal RNA", at positions 524 to 776 of the family's 1533-position model. The record is from RNAcentral.
UACGGGGGGAGCAAGCGUUGUUCGGAUUUACUGGGCGUAACGGGCGCGUAGGCGGUCAGCACAAGUCAGUUGUGAAAUCUCCGGGCUUAACUCGGAAAGGUCAACUGAUACUGUGCGACUAGAGUGCAGAAGGGGCAACUGGGAAUUCGUCGGUGUAGCGGUGAAAUGCGUAGAUAUCGAGAGGAACACCUGCGGCGAAGGCGGGUUGCUGGGCUGACACUGACGCUGAUGCGCGAAAGCCAGGGGAGCGAACGGG